GACGAACGCUGGCGGCGUGCCUAACACAUGCAAGUCGAACGAGAUCCAUGGGAGCUUGCUCCCGGAAGAUCUAGUGGCGAACGGGUGAGUAACACGUGAGAAACCUGCCCUGGAGUGGGGAAUAACACGGGGAAACUCGAGCUAAUACCGCAUACCCUCGGAUGGUCGCAUGGCCGACCGAGGAAAGAUUUUAUCGCUCUAGGAGGGUCUCGCGGCCUAUCAGCUAGUUGGUGGGGUAACGGCCUACCAAGGCAACGACGGGUAGCUGGUUUGAGAGAACGAUCAGCCACACUGGGACUGAGACACGGCCCAGACUCCUACGGGAGGCAGCAGUGGGGAAUCUUGCGCAAUGGGCGAAAGCCCGACGCAGCAACGCCGCGUGCGGGAUGACGGCCUUCGUGGUUGUAACCGCGUUUCAGCAGGGACGAAACGACGGUACCUGCAGAAGAAGACCCCGGCUAACUACGUAGCCAGCAGCCGCGGUAAGU
Molecule: ribosomal RNA, 488 nt
Filed under: uncultured bacterium
Lineage: Bacteria
Description: bacterial SSU rRNA
Rfam family: Bacterial small subunit ribosomal RNA
Source: RNAcentral